GCCACAGUGACUGAUGUUGAGAAGACCUUCAACCUGCCUUUAACACCACGCCUGAUACUACUCUGUGGAAAAGACCAUGUGACUGCUGGGCACUGGAUGAUCAGUCUUGAGAGCCAUAUUGUAUGUGAGGGCAUUCAACCAACCUUUGUGACAGGGCUUGCUGCACUGUUUUCAAUGUACUACAUCUUUAAUCUACAAUAUCAAGAAGAGGCUGCAUGUACACUUGAAUUCAUCCAGAGGCGCUUUCUUGAUAUCAACCCUGAAAGAGGGACCAAGGCCAGCUGUGGCAAGAUUGUCUCCAAGAGGACAGGAAAAACUGUUCAAAAGAAGUCAGUCACUGUCAACCCCCGUGUUUCAACUCUGCUAAAAAACCUCAUGGACUUUGAGUGGAAUUUCAUAUAGGU
Xiphophorus hellerii (green swordtail) is the source of this 404-nucleotide long non-coding RNA. RefSeq lists it as uncharacterized. Lineage: Eukaryota; Metazoa; Chordata; Actinopteri; Cyprinodontiformes; Poeciliidae. The transcript has 3 exons. The record is from RefSeq and is a predicted model, not a curated record.